CACACACACACACACACAGCAGUGUGUGUAUGUGUGUAUAUAUUUGUAUGUAUAUAUAUAUAUAUAUAUAUACACAUAUAUAUAUAUACAUAAAUACAUAUAUAUGCGGCGUGUGCUUGUGCUUU
Pelobates cultripes (western spadefoot toad) is the source of this 125-nucleotide non-coding RNA. NCBI's taxonomy places the organism in Eukaryota, Metazoa, Chordata, Amphibia, Anura, Pelobatidae. The record is from the annotation of a GenBank genome assembly.